This 1505-nucleotide long non-coding RNA is filed under the name Daucus carota (carrot). RNAcentral's name for it is "long non-coding RNA (DCAR_LNC001766)". The record is from RNAcentral. Lineage: Eukaryota; Viridiplantae; Streptophyta; Magnoliopsida; Apiales; Apiaceae.
GUGUAUCAUAAUAAACUUAAAAAGUAUAAUGGCUAUGAGUGGGGGGAAAGGAAAAAGAUAACCCCUCGAUAGUAUCUUAGUAACAACAUACUAAGGAAACUAUAAAAUUUACACAUGUUAUAGUGAAAGAAAAGAAAUAAGUGGAUAUAUAGGCCAUUGCAUAUUAUGAUAAAUAACUGAGCCAAUAGAUAUAUAGCUCCAAAGAAAAACUCUUAUCAAGGAAUAUCAAGGCGACAAGUUCUUAAAUGCCAUGUUUGAUAACAUAGAACAAUUUCUCCAAGCACAAUUUUAUUCUAUAACUAAUGGUUGUUCACAAAAUCAGGAUUAGCUAAUCAAUAAUUUAACCUACAAGUACAAGAAAUAAUAUCAAGGAAACAUAAUUCAAUUUAUAAAUUGUUAGUGGUAAUCAAAUAUUGGAGAACAGCAAACUUAUAAACCCACAUUACGGCCAGUUCCAGUUCCAACAAACCUAUUCCAUAUAGCUCAAAGAUACUUGACUAGCUACCGCCUACCAACUCAGCUGGUUUACACUCCACCCCAUGCCUUGAAGUAUAAUUCUGAAUUUGUGUAUAUCAUUUAUUCAGGGACGGAAGAGUAGGACACUAGAAUGUUAAGGAUAGAUUCAGUAGGCGGGGUUUUCAAGAAAAACAGGGAGCAAAUUUUGGUGUUUCUUAGUUCAUAUCAAAUGUCAGGCUCAUUAGGCCUGAGCAUAAUUAUCCGAAACCGGUUCAAACCGACCGAUCCAAACCGUCCAAACCGAAUAUUUCGGUUUUUUAACGGUUUGGUUUGGUUUUGGUUUUGGUAAUUAGAAAACCGAAAAUUUUCGGUUUGGUUUCGGUUUUCAACUUCAAACCGACCGAAAUAUCCGAACCGAACCGUUAGCACAUAUAUUAGAAAAUUAUUAUUUUAUAUAUAUAGUUUAGGUAUUUAAGUGCAGAUCAAUAUCAUAAAUAUUCCUUACUUUCAAGAUUAUCCCUCCCUUUUUUCUCCAUCUUUAUUUUAUCCCACUUCAUUAAUAAUCAACCUUUCUUCUUUUUCUCUUUUAAAUAAAACAUUUUGUUUAGUUUUUAAAAUAAAAUGAAUUAUUUGUUUUCAUUACAACGUAUAAGGAUAGCACCUAAAAUUAUUUAUAUCGAAUAAUUAUACAAGUUUCACCUUUAUCCUUUUAUAAGGUAUUUUGUUAAGUGACAAGAAAGGAGCAUCUAGAAUUAUUAUAAAUUAAUAAAAGUGUACAAUUUUUUUAAUAUUUUGGUCAAAAACCGAAACCAAACCGAACCAAUCCGUUAAUAAUCGGUUUGGUUUGGAUUGGUUUUUAUAAUAUUCGGUUUGGUUAUGGUUUGUAAAUUUUCGAAACCGAAAAAUUCGGUUUGGUUCGGUUUGGACCUCCAAACCGCCCAAACCGAACCGUGCUCACCCCUAAGGCUCAUAGCGCAUAAUGCUGCCUCAUUCCCACAGGCCGCAACCCUUUCUUACCCCGCCCAUCACAAACUUGAGUCAUGAACCUA